CCUACGGGUGGCAGCAGUGAGGAAUAUUGGUCAAUGGGCGCGAGCCUGAACCAGCCAAGUCGCGUGAGGGAUGAAGGUUCUAUGGAUCGUAAACCUCUUUUAUAAGGGAAUAAAGUGUGGGACGUGUCCGUUUUUGUAUGUACCGUAUGAAUAAGGAUCGGCUAACUCCGUGCCAGCAGCCGCGGUAAUACGGAGGAUCCGAGCGUUAUCCGGAUUUAUUGGGUUUAACGGGUGCGUAGGCGGCCUUUUAAGUCAGCGGUGAAAUUCUGUGGCUCAACCAGAGAAUUGCCGUUGAUACUGGGGGGCUUGAGUAUGUUUGAGGCAGGCGGAAUGCGUGGUGUAGCGGUGAAAUGCUUAGAGAUCACGCAGAACCCCGAUUGCGAAGGCAGCCUGCCAAGCCAUGUCUGACGUUGAUGCACGAAAGCGUGGGGAUCAAACAGGAUUAGAUACCCGUGUAGUC
Molecule: ribosomal RNA, 460 nt
Filed under: uncultured bacterium
Lineage: Bacteria
Description: partial 16S ribosomal RNA
Rfam family: Bacterial small subunit ribosomal RNA
Source: RNAcentral